Molecule: long non-coding RNA, 2870 nt
Organism: Peromyscus californicus insignis
Lineage: Eukaryota; Metazoa; Chordata; Mammalia; Rodentia; Cricetidae
Exons: 2
Source: RefSeq, a predicted model, not a curated record
GCAGCUGUGAACGUUGGUCUCCAAAGAACACUUCUGUCCAGGUGCAUUCCCUUCCAGAGAGACAGGUUGGGUCCCCCUUCCAGGCUGGUGCUCAAGAUUCAGAGGGAUGUGGGAGGCAUGAGGACGGAAGGGCAGAGAGCUGUUUGUGGAGACAAGGAAACACGUCCCACCUCUUUCCGAAAAGCACCGAGGCGCAGGAUGUCUCCUGACACAGACAGUGACAAGCACCGGCCUGAUGCAGAAUCCAUGUGCGCACGGUGUCACAUCCCGCACCCGCUAGAGCUCAAGCGCUUGAGGCCCGAGAUGGGAAGAUCCAUCUUCUGGACACUGACCAGAGAAAGGGGAGAGUGGGAGAUAAUGGUUCCCAUGGUGACAGUAGCUUCUGGUUGCUAAGCACCAACGAUGAGCUGACAGAAGCUAAGGGUUUCACAAGCCUAUCGCCCCAAAGUCCCCCCCGAGACCCCUGUGAGGAAGGAACGCUUACCCUCCCCAUUUCAUGUCAGUGUACCAGUGCUCAGAGAGGGAAGGUAGUGUGGCCAAGGUGGCACAGCUUGAAGAAGGUGCAAGAGGACUUUGAACCCAGGAAGUCUGGUGUGGUGGUUAGAACGAGAAUGGCCCCCAUGGGCUCAUAGAUUUGAAUGCUUGGUCGUGGGGGGAGUGGCGAAUUUGAAAAGAUCAGCAGGAUGAGGAGGUGUGGCCUUGUUGGAGUAAGGGGGUGGGCUUUGAGGUUUUAAAAUCCCAAGCCAGGCCCAGUGUCUCUUUCUGCUUGUGGAUGUAGCUCUCUGCCUGCUGCCAUCCUGCCGUCACGAUAACAGACUAACCAAACUGUAAGCAAGCUCCCGGCUAAAAGCUUUCUUUUCAUCAGAGUUGCCCUGGUCCACCGUGUCUCCUCACAGCAACAGAACACUGAGGCAUCUGGUUUGAGAACCUACUUAUGUGAUCAUGGGCUGCCACAUGGUAGGUGCGGGGCAGAUAUGAGGUCAGGAUGAAGAAGGAAGCUGUGGACCCGACAGGAUGCUGGGGAGGGAUGCUGAGGGUGGUCUACCACAGAGGCGAGGAGGAGACACGGGGCACAGGGCUGGUCUUUCCGUGGUUGCCUAGACCUCGAGGACUCAGAUUGGGAAACAAGAAGCCACUCAAAGCUGUGGUUCCCAGAUUCACACAAUGAAACCCCAACUUCCCACACAGGGGCGUUUAGCAAUGUCUGGAGGUGUUUGGGGUUUUUUUUCCACAGCUGAGGGUGUUGCUGGCAUGUCAGUGGGUAGAGACAAGGAAGGUCACGUCUCACCCCACAGUUCAUGGAACGUACGGGUGAAAUGGUAUGGACACAAGCCACUCUGAGAGCAGUGGGCUCAGGGGUGGCCAUGCAGAUAGAUGCCUCCCAGUUCUCAGCUGCAUGGAUGGCUAACAGGUUCCCAUGACAACUGCCAGGCAAGGAAGGACCUUGGAUUCUGUGGCUUUAUAGGUUUUCUGCCAACUCUUUCUCCUGCUGGAACUAUCCACCCCCUUCCCCACAAUCCAUAGAGAAGAAUGAGCUAGAGAGGAAGGCGUGGUCCGAGACCUUUUCCUGAUGAUAAAUGAGGGCACAGGACUAAUUUGGGGUGGGGUGUAAAAAAAGGAAGUGUAAAACCACAAACGCCCAACUAGCAUAUGUGGAAGAGACUGGAAAGGGAGGUGUUGAGCCAAAGCCAUGAAUUGUCUUCCCAGAAAAAAAAAAAAAAUUAUGUGUAGUUUUCCAAUCCACUAAGGGGCUGGGGAUGUAACUCAGUUGGCAGAGUGCCCGGUUCCAUCCCCAGCACCUCAUAAACCAGGUGUGGUGGUGCACAUCUGUAAUCCCAGCCUUCAGGAGGGGGAGGCAGGAGAAUCAGGACUUCAACGUCAUUCUGAGCUGUUGUGAUUUCAAGGCUAGCCUGAGCUACAUGAGACCCUGUCUCAACAAACCAAAAAUGAAUAAAUCCAUCCCUUGGCGCCUCAGGUAGGCAAUUAGACUCUCUGUGUUAAAACAGUGGGAACCUGUUUUCAGUAUUGGCUGUUACAGAGCUUCCCACUCAGGGGUGCACCCAGGAGAUGUCUAAGCAAGCAGAGGGAGGGGAGGUAUGCCUGGCAUCUAGUGAGUUUGUAUAAAACUCCACCUUCCAAAUUUAUAAUUUGUAGCUUUAUUUCCUAUCUGUCCCGACUUGUUUUGUCAACUUGACACAAGCUAGAGUCAUCUGAAAGGAGGGAACCUCAAUUGAGAAGAUGCCUCCAUGAGAUCCAGCUGUAGGACAUUUUAUUAAUUAGUGAUUGAUUGGGGAGGACCCAGCCCAUUGUGGGUGGAGCCAUCCCUGGGCUGGUGGUCCUGGGUUCUAUAAGAACACAGGCUGGGCAAGCCAUGGGGAGCAGCCAGUAAGCAGCACCCCUCCAUGGCCUCUGCAUCAGCUCCUGCCUCCAGGUCCCUGCCCUGCUUGAGUUCCUGUCCUGACUUCCUUUGAUGAUAGACUGUGGUAUGGAAGUGUAUGCUGAAUUAACCCUUUCUUUCCCUAGUUGCUUUUGGUCAUGGUGUUUAUCACAGCAAUGGAAACCCAGCUGGACGGUGGACUUGGAGAUUGAAAAACCUUAUGCCACUUCAUUUCCUUUCUCUGCUUUGUGCUUUAUGGUUGAGGAUGUGAGUUCUCAGCUUCCCGCUCUGGCCACCAUGUCUCCCACCUGCUGCCACGCUUCCCUGCAACGAUGGACUCUUAUCCCUCUGGAAUCAUAAGCCCAAAUAAGCUCAUCUGUAAAUUCCCUCGGUCACGGUGUUUUAUCACAGCGACAGAAAAGUAACUAAUGCGGGGCUGGAAGCAUUUGUAGGGUGCACUGGGCCAAUAAAGCUCCCUGGUGAGGCGUGGGCA